GAUAAAAUGGCUGAGUUGCAGGCGAUAGACUGUAAAUCUAUACACGGAGAUAUAAUCCUUUUAUCA
This 66-nucleotide transfer RNA is filed under the name Penaeus semisulcatus. RNAcentral's name for it is "tRNA-Tyr". It matches the Rfam family "tRNA". Rfam says of the family: Transfer RNA (tRNA) molecules are approximately 80 nucleotides in length. Their secondary structure includes four short double-helical elements and three loops (D, anti-codon, and T loops). The record is from RNAcentral. Lineage: Eukaryota; Metazoa; Arthropoda; Malacostraca; Decapoda; Penaeidae.